AAUAAAGUGCCUGAAAAAAAGGUCUAUUUUGAUAGAAUAGCUUAUGCAUAAAUGCCUUUAUUA
This 63-nucleotide transfer RNA is filed under the name Cucujoidea sp. 3 KM-2017. RNAcentral describes it as "tRNA-Ile". The record is from RNAcentral. Lineage: Eukaryota; Metazoa; Arthropoda; Insecta; Coleoptera.